RNAcentral lists this transfer RNA (87 nucleotides) under Magnetovibrio sp. RNAcentral's name for it is "tRNA-Leu". It matches the Rfam family "tRNA". From Rfam's summary of the family: Transfer RNA (tRNA) molecules are approximately 80 nucleotides in length. Their secondary structure includes four short double-helical elements and three loops (D, anti-codon, and T loops). Further hydrogen bonds mediate the characteristic L-shaped molecular structure. tRNAs have two regions of fundamental functional importance: the anti-codon, which is responsible for specific mRNA codon recognition, and the 3' end, to which the tRNAs corresponding amino acid is attached (by aminoacyl-tRNA synthetases). tRNAs cope with the degeneracy of the genetic code in two manners: having more than one tRNA (with a specific anti-codon) for a particular amino acid; and 'wobble' base-pairing, i.e. permitting non-standard base-pairing at the 3rd anti-codon position. Lineage: Bacteria; Pseudomonadati; Pseudomonadota; Alphaproteobacteria; Rhodospirillales; Magnetovibrionaceae. The record is from RNAcentral.
GCGGGCGUGGUGAAAUUGGUAAACACAAGGGACUUAAAAUCCCUCGGCUUAACGGCCUUGCCGGUUCAAGUCCGGCCGCCCGCACCA